This is a ribosomal RNA of Gorilla gorilla gorilla (western lowland gorilla), 108 nucleotides long. The record is from Ensembl. Lineage: Eukaryota; Metazoa; Chordata; Mammalia; Primates; Hominidae.
GUCUACGGCCAUACCACCCUGAACGCGCCCGAUCUCGUCUGAUCUCGGAAGCUAAGCAGGGUCGGGCCUGGUUAGUACUUGGAAUGGGAGAAACCAAAUUCUCAGAAU